GCUCACUGCCCCCCGUGGGCGUUUCCUCCCUGAACUUGGGCCGUGCCUCGCGCACGGCCUUUUUUUUGGCCCGAC
RNAcentral lists this small RNA (75 nucleotides) under Rhodothalassium salexigens DSM 2132. RNAcentral's name for it is "Makes More Granules Regulator RNA (mmgR)". It matches the Rfam family "Makes More Granules Regulator RNA (mmgR)". From Rfam's summary of the family: SuhB later renamed mmgR (makes more granules regulator) was a putative non-coding RNA found multiple times in the Agrobacterium tumefaciens genome and related alpha-proteobacteria. Lineage: Bacteria; Pseudomonadati; Pseudomonadota; Alphaproteobacteria; Rhodothalassiales; Rhodothalassiaceae. The record is from Rfam by way of RNAcentral.